GAAAUCAGUUAAAACUUUCAACAACGGAUCUCUUGGUUCCGGCAUCGAUGAAGAACGCAGCGAAAUGCGAUAAGUAAUGUGAAUUGCAGAAUUCCGUGAAUCAUCGAAUCUUUGAACGCA
Molecule: ribosomal RNA, 120 nt
Filed under: Nannizzia fulva
Lineage: Eukaryota; Fungi; Ascomycota; Eurotiomycetes; Onygenales; Arthrodermataceae
Description: 5.8S ribosomal RNA
Rfam family: 5.8S ribosomal RNA
About the family: 5.8S ribosomal RNA (5.8S rRNA) is a component of the large subunit of the eukaryotic ribosome.
Source: RNAcentral